UACGGAGGGUGCAAGCGUUACUCGGAAUCACUGGGCGUAAAGAGUGCGCAGGCGGGCUUGUAAGUCAGAUGUGAAAUCCUGUAGCUUAACUACAGAACUGCAUUUGAAACUAUGAGUCUAGAGUGUGGGAGAGGUAGGUGGAAUUCUUGGUGUAGGGGUAAAAUCCGUAGAUAUCAGGAAGAACACCAGUGGCGAAGGCGGAUUACUGGACGGUAACUGACGGUGAGGCGCGAAAGCGUGGGGAGCAAACAGG
RNAcentral lists this ribosomal RNA (253 nucleotides) under uncultured Helicobacter sp. RNAcentral's name for it is "partial 16S ribosomal RNA". It matches the Rfam family "Bacterial small subunit ribosomal RNA", at positions 524 to 776 of the family's 1533-position model. The record is from RNAcentral. Lineage: Bacteria; Pseudomonadati; Campylobacterota; Epsilonproteobacteria; Campylobacterales; Helicobacteraceae.